AUGAGUUUGAUCAUGGCUCAGGAUGAACGCUAGCUACAGGCUUAACACAUGCAAGUCGAGGGGCAGCAUGAAAGUUUGCUUGCACAACUUUUGAAUGGCGACCGGCGCAACGGGGUGAGUGACACGCUAUCCAACCUGCCUCAUACUCGGGGAUAGCCUUUCGAAAAGAAAGAUUAAUACCCGAUGUCAUAGUCCUACCGCAUGAUGGGAUUAUUAAAGAAUUUCGGUAUGGGAUGGGGAUGCGUUCCAUUAGUUAGUUGGCGGGGUAACGGCCCACCAAGACGACGAUGGAUAGGGGUUCUGAGAGGAAGGUCCCCCACAUUGGAACUGAGACACGGUCCAAACUCCUACGGGAGGCAGCAGUGAGGAAUAUUGGUCAAUGGACGAGAGUCUGAACCAGCCAAGUAGCGUGAAGGAUGACUGCCCUAUGGGUUGUAAACUUCUUUUAUAUGGGAAUAAAAUGUUCCACGUGUGGGAUUUUGUAUGUACCAUAUGAAUAAGGUUUUGGUAACUCCGUGCCAGCAGCCGCGGUAAUACGGAGGAUCCGAGCGUUAUCCGGAUUUAUUGGGUUUAAAGGGAGCGUAGGUGGAUUGUUAAGUCAGUUGUGAAAGUUUGCGGCUCAACCGUAAAAUUGCAGUUGAAACUGGCAGUCUUGAGUACAGUAGAGGUGGGCGGAAUUCGUGGUGUAGCGGUGAAAUGCUUAGAUAUCACGAAGAACUCCGAUUGCGAAGGCAGCUCACUGGACUGCAACUGACACUGAGGCUCGAAAGUGUGGGUAUCAAACAGGAUUAGAUACCCUGGUAGUCCACACAGUCAACGAUGAAUACUCGCUGUUUGCGAUAUACAGCAAGCGGCCAAGCGAAAGCAUUAAGUAUUCCACCUGGGGAGUGCGCCGUCAACGGUGAAACUCAAAGGAAUUGACGGGGGCCCGCACAAGCGGAGGAACAUGUGGUUUAAUUCGAUGAUACGCGAGGAACCUUACCCGGGCUUAAAUUGCACCUGAAUAAUGUGGAAACAUGUUAGCCGUAAGGCAGGUGUGAAGGUGCUGCAUGGUUGUCGUCAGCUCGUGCCGUGAGGUGUCGGCUUAAGUGCCAUAACGAGCGCAACCCUUAUCUUCAGUUACUAACAGGUCAUGCUGAGGACUCUGGAGAGACUGCCGUCGUAAGAUGUGAGGAAGGUGGGGAUGACGUCAAAUCAGCACGGCCCUUACGUCCGGGGCUACGCACGUGUUACAAUGGGAGGUACAGAAGGCCGCUACCUGGCGACAGGAUGCCAAUCCCCAAAACUCUCUCUCAGUUCGGAUCGAAGUCUGUAACCCGACUUCGUGAAGCUGGAUUCUCUAGUAAUCGCGCAUCAGCCAUGGCUCGGUGUAUACGUUUCCGGUCCUUGUAUAUACCGCCCGUCUAGCCAUG
This 1412-nucleotide ribosomal RNA is filed under the name Bacteroides acidifaciens. RNAcentral describes it as "bacterial SSU rRNA". It matches the Rfam family "Bacterial small subunit ribosomal RNA". Lineage: Bacteria; Pseudomonadati; Bacteroidota; Bacteroidia; Bacteroidales; Bacteroidaceae. The record is from RNAcentral.